CGGCGUGCUUAACACAUGCAAGUCGAACGCGAAAGGGACUUCGGUCCUGAGUAAAGUGGCGCACGGGUGAGUAACGCGUAGAUAACCUGUCUUCAUGUCUGGAAUAAUACGCCGAAAGGGGUACUAAUACCGGAUAUUCUUGCUUUUCAUAAGUUAUGCAAGCAAAGGUGGCCUCUGCAUAUGCUACUGCAUGAAGAGGGGUCUGCGUACCAUUAGCUAGUAGGUGGGGUAAUGGCCUACCUAGGCGACGAUGGUUAGCGGGUCUGAGAGGAUGAUCCGCCACACUGGCACUGGAACACGGGCCAGACUCCUACGGGAGGCAGCAGUGAGGAAUAUUGCGCAAUGGGGGAAACCCUGACGCAGCGACGCCGCGUGAGUGAAGGAGGGCCUUCGGGUCGUAAAGCUCUGUCAAGAGGAAAGAAGUGUACAAUGGCUAAUACCUGUCGUAUUUGACGGUACCUCUAAAGGAAGCACCGGCUAACUCCGUGCCAGCCGCUGC
RNAcentral lists this ribosomal RNA (499 nucleotides) under uncultured bacterium. Its description in RNAcentral is "bacterial SSU rRNA". It matches the Rfam family "Bacterial small subunit ribosomal RNA", at positions 40 to 518 of the family's 1533-position model. The record is from RNAcentral.